CAACAGCCAUAGUUUAUUGGAUCUUAGAGUCCUACUUGGAUACCUGUGGAAAAUCUAGAGCUAAUACACGCAAUCAAGCCCCAACCUGACGGACGGGGCGCAUUUAUUAGAACAAAACCAAUUGGCUUCGGCCAUCAUUUGGUGAAUCUGAAUAACUACGCUGAUCGCACGGUCUCGUACCGGCGACGUAUCCUUCAAGUGUCUGCCUUAUCAACUUUCGAUGGUAGUCUAUAAGCCUACCAUGGUUGUAACGGGUAACGGAGAAUUAGGGUUCGACUCCNGAGAGGGAGCCUGAGAAACGGCUACCACUUCCAAGGAAGGCAGCAGGCGCGCAAAUUACCCACUCUCAGUACGAGGAGGUAGUGACGAAAAAUAACGAGACAGUUCUCUAUGAGGUCUGUCAUCGGAAUGGGUACAAUCUAAACCCUUUAACGAGGAUCUAUUGGAGGGCAAGUCUGGUGCCAGCAGCCGCGGUAAUUCCAGCUCCAAUAGCGUAUAUUAAAGUUGUUGCGGUUAAAAAGCUCGUAGUUGGAUCUGCGGUCAUUGACACUGGUCUCCUUAACGGAGUACUUGCUGUCGUGACCUACCUUGCUGGUUGUCCCUUGGUGCUCUUUACUGAGUGCCCUGGGGGGCUAGCACGUUUACUUUGAAAAAAUUAGAGUGCUUAACNCAGGCUAUUGCCUGAAUAGUGGUGCAUGGAAUAAUGGAAUAGGACCUCGGUUCUAUUUUGUUGGUUUUCGGAGCGCGAGUAAUGAUUAAGAGGGACAGACGGGGGCAUUCGUACUGCUGCG
This 791-nucleotide ribosomal RNA is filed under the name Chromadorita tentabundum. RNAcentral describes it as "SSU rRNA". It matches the Rfam family "Eukaryotic small subunit ribosomal RNA", at positions 104 to 904 of the family's 1831-position model. Lineage: Eukaryota; Metazoa; Nematoda; Chromadorea; Chromadorida; Chromadoridae. The record is from RNAcentral.